CCAUUUGCAUGUCGUCCAACGGUCACCUAUAUAGGUCUUGCCCGCAAGGGAUAUGGCGAUAAACGGUCAUUGUAAUAAACCCAUCGGACCCGGGGCAGUACCCGGCGUCUCCACCAUCUCCUCCCGAAAGGGGUGAGCCAAUGGGGACGAAACAGGAUCGACGAGGGCGUAAAGAGUGUGCUUUUGCUCGGUGAGGUACCACCGUUAUCGGUCCGAAACUUAUAGUUGCUAAUGACAACAAUAAGGCUCCAGUCGCUCUCGCCGCCUAAGCGGUGCUAGCAUUGGGAAAUUAAGUCCUCCGCCCCUAGCCGGGCGACAGGCGGGGUUCGCAGGCACCUGGCAACAGAAGCCUGCACU
Molecule: transfer-messenger RNA, 357 nt
Filed under: Devosia aurantiaca
Lineage: Bacteria; Pseudomonadati; Pseudomonadota; Alphaproteobacteria; Hyphomicrobiales; Devosiaceae
Description: Alphaproteobacteria transfer-messenger RNA
Rfam family: Alphaproteobacteria transfer-messenger RNA
About the family: Bacterial tmRNA, also known as 10Sa RNA or SsrA, is named for its dual tRNA and mRNA-like properties. Its role is to liberate the mRNA from a stalled ribosome.
Source: Rfam by way of RNAcentral